RNAcentral lists this ribosomal RNA (974 nucleotides) under human gut metagenome. RNAcentral's name for it is "bacterial LSU rRNA". It matches the Rfam family "Bacterial large subunit ribosomal RNA", at positions 1950 to 2925 of the family's 2925-position model. The record is from RNAcentral.
CCUAAGGUAGCGAAAUUCCUUGUCAGGUAAGUUCUGACCCGCACGAAAGGCGUAACGAUUUGGGCGCUGUCUCAACAAGAAACUCGGUGAAAUCAUAGUACCUGUGAAGAUGCAGGUUACCCGCGAUCAGACGGAAAGACCCCAUGGAGCUUCACUGCAGCUUAAUAUUGAUAUUGGGUGUGUGAUGUACAGGAUAGGUGGGAGACGAAGAAGCGAGUACGCUAGUAUUCGUGGAGUCAACGUUGGGAUACCACCCUUCAUACAUUUAGUAUCUAACUAGUAUCCAUAAUCUGGGUAUAGAACAGUGUUAGGUGGGCAGUUUGACUGGGGCGGUCGCCUCCCAAAGAGUAACGGAGGCGCCCAAAGGUACGCUCAGAUUGGAUGGAAACCAAUCGUCGAGUGCAAUUGCAGAAGCGUGCUUGACUGUGAGACAGACAAGUCGAACAGGGACGAAAGUCGGGAAUAGUGAUCCGGCGGUGCCGAAUGGAAGGGCCGUCGCUCAACGGAUAAAAGCUACCCUGGGGAUAACAGGCUGAUCUCGCCCAAGAGUUCACAUCGACGGCGAGGUUUGGCACCUCGAUGUCGGCUCAUCGCAUCCUGGAGCUGGAUUCGGUUCCAAGGGUUGGGCUGUCCGCCCAUUAAAGCGGUACGCGAGCUGGGUUCAGAACGUCGUGAGACAGUUCGGUCCCUAUCUGUUGUGGGCGAAGGAGAUCUGCGGAGAGCUGUCCUCAGUACGAGAGGACCGGGAUGGACCUACCGCUGGUGCACCGGUUGUUCCGCCAGGGGCAUAGCCGGGUAGCUAAGUAGGGAAAGGAUAAGCGCUGAAAGCAUCUAAGCACGAAGCCUACUCCAAGAUGAGAUCUCCCAUUCGCAAGAAGUAAGACCCCUUAAAGACGAUAAGGUAGAUAGGCCAGGGAUGGAAGUGCAGUGAUGUACGGAGUUGACUGGUACUAAUCGGUCGAGGACUUAAUCAG